Molecule: ribosomal RNA, 428 nt
Filed under: uncultured bacterium
Lineage: Bacteria
Description: bacterial SSU rRNA
Rfam family: Bacterial small subunit ribosomal RNA
Source: RNAcentral
GUGGGGAAUAUUGGGCAAUGGGCGCAAGCCUGACCCAGCAACGCCGCGUGAAGGAAGAAGGCCCUCGGGUUGUAAACUUCUUUUAUCAGGGACGAACAUAAUGACGGUACCUGAUGAAUAAGCCACGGCUAACUACGUGCCAGCAGCCGCGGUAAUACGUAGGUGGCAAGCGUUAUCCGGAUUUACUGGGUGUAAAGGGCGUGUAGGCGGGAAGGCAAGUCAGGCGUGAAAACUCGGGGCUCAACCCCGAGCCUGCGUUUGAAACUGUUUUUCUUGAGUGAUGGAGAGGCAGGCGGAAUUCCGUGUGUAGCGGUGAAAUGCGUAGAUAUACGGAGGAACACCAGUGGCGAAGGCGGCCUGCUGGACAUUAACUGACGCUGAGGCGCGAAAGCGUGGGGAGCAAACAGGAUUAGAUACCCUAGUAGUCC